UGCUUCUUUUGUAGGUAACGUCACCUCACGGAAGUUAUUAACCCCGCAAAGCCUCUUCCCUACCGAAAGGGCUUUACAACCCGCAGGCCUUCUUCACCCACGCGGCAUUGCUGGAUCAGGCUUGCGCCCAUUGUCCAAUAUUCCCCACUGCUGCCUCCCGUAGGAAGCCGAAUUCCAGCACACUGGCGGCCGUUACUAGUGGAUCCGAGCUCGGUACCAAGCUUGGCGUAAUCAUGGUCAUAGCUGUUUCCUGUGA
This 256-nucleotide ribosomal RNA is filed under the name uncultured bacterium. RNAcentral describes it as "partial 16S ribosomal RNA". The record is from RNAcentral.